RNA transcript from Phragmites australis (common reed), 1883 nucleotides. It is a transcript of the gene named 1-aminocyclopropane-1-carboxylate oxidase-like, with no coding region annotated. Lineage: Eukaryota; Viridiplantae; Streptophyta; Magnoliopsida; Poales; Poaceae. The transcript is spliced from 5 exons. The record is from RefSeq and is a predicted model, not a curated record.
UCUCUCCUCCUCUCCACGGCUGCAGACGGAGGCCAACGACCAGAACACGUUUCCCACCAAAAGCACUUCUCUGUCUCACCGAUUGCCUGCGAUUCCCACCGCUCCGGCCGUCUCCAUGGCCGCCUCGGCCUCCUCCUCCACUGCCGCCACAGUCAUGUCGGGGCCCAACUCCGGACGGAGCGUACUCCCAGGCCCUCCCCCACCAACGCCGUCGAACCACCACGCGCUCCCCUCCUCCGCAGCAGCCGGGGGCACGGACGCCGCGCUCUCCGCUUUCCUCCACCGCCGCCUCCUCUCCUCCCCGGCCCCGCCUCUCCGAUCGCCGCCCUACGUUCGGUCUCAGGCGCCGCACUCCCUUCCGCCUCUCGUCUCGCUCGACAGCCCCGACCCGCGCGCCCUCCGCGACGCCGCCGACGCGGGCUACUUCCACCUCGUCGGCCACGGGGUGCCUUCCGAGCUACCGUCUUCCGCGCUCUCCGAGCUCUCUCUCAUCGACGCGUCAACGCUCCAGGAGUCGAAUCUACGCACGCUCGGCUUCACGGAGGAGGAGCAGGAUGCGGACGACAGAGACGAAGACCCCGCCGUGGUGUUUGACGCCUGCGAGGGGGAAAUGGACGCGCUCCCGGCGUUAGCGGAGUACGCGCGGCGGAUGAGGGACUUGGGCAUGCAGGUGGUGGCGCUACUGUCCGGGUGCCCCGACGUGGGUUUCCGGGAGGAACCGUUUGCGGAGGGGAGGAGGACGGCGAGGUGUCUGGUGUGGGCCUCCAGGGUCUCCGCUGGCGAGACGGCGGCGCAUCCAGCCACCGGGAAGGCGAAGGCGUACCCGUACGUCGUGGGACUUCACUGCCAGUGGGAGCCUUCCGGGCAGGAAUCGGCGCCGGCGAGCUGGGUGAUGGGCGACGGCGGCGAGUGGACAGCCGUAGGCGCACGCCACGGCGCGAUACUUGUCACCAUUGGCGACAUUGCCCAGGUGUGGAGCAAUGGUAAGUUGAAGAAAGUGAGAGGGAUGGCGCACCCCACCUCCACACCCGAGGCCGGGCAGCAGGGCGAGCCUGAUCUGUUGUCGGUCACCGUGCUCAUCACCCUGUGUCUGGACAGUGUCAUCUCGCCGUUGGUCCCGUGCGCCGAUGCCGCCGGCGAAGAGGGCCGCGAGGACGAGGCAGAUGGUGCCAAUGGCGAGGAUGAGGAUGGGUGGAGGUUCCGCUCGUUUUUGCUGGAGGACUACGCGUGGAGGGUCUAUCACCAGCGGCUUCAGUUCAAGGAUCCGCUGGUCCGUUACCGGACAUGAGAUUGCAACAAUGCCCUUGGAUCAACAUGGAUUGAGGCUUGAUCCCGACCAACCUUGGGUCCAGACCCACGUUGGGAAGAAACCAUGUGGUGGCUGAAUGUGCAUUUGGCAACGACAUGAGUUGGAAUGUUCCUGAUCCAAUCCACACCGAUUCAUGGGAGAAACACACAUCCCCAUCGAGGCCAGGAACAGAGCUUGCUCUUGUGUUAUCUUUUCGUGUGUGGCGUUUGCCUCACAGUCUACUCCGGCGACGCUCCACCCCAGCAGCGCUUAUCUUCGGUGUUCUCCUCCCCAAUGGCUCACUCCGGCAUUCUCCUCCCUAGCGGCUGAUCUGAUGUUGUGCAUGGUGGUUGAUAUGCGGCGUUUGGUGGCUCAAUUGCUCAAGUUCUAGGCAGCAACUCAAGUUCUUCAACAAUCUGCACUGGACACCACGUGCCCUGCAAAAUCUCCAAAUACACUGUGUCCCGCAAAAGCUCUUGAAGUUGAGGAUCCAAGCUGGCUUGUUGAAAACAAUACAUUAAGGUCUUUAGGUGUGGCAUAAUGUACCACCAAGUUUGACUAUGUAUUUACGUUGUUAGGCGCUGCAUGUUGUAUU